GGCGACAACGGUAGCUAGCUAACCAGCUGUACAUGAUAGACAGUGUCCUUUGUCCCCGCCUGUCGGGCACUGUUUUCCCGCAGUUCUGUUAAUGACGCGAGGGCAGGUGUUUGGCAGGUAGGAGCGAAGGACCCACAUUCAAAAGUGUCACAAGUAUGAAGACAAAGACAGUACAGUAUGAAACUCUGAUGAAAUGUUCAGCUCGAGAUGGGGGGCGUUCAUGCUGUAACCAAUGGGAUGCUCGAGGGGGGGUGUUCAUGAAGGAACCAAUAGGAACGCCCCGAAUGCAGGCUGCAGUAGCACACUGACGGCGGGCAAAACUCCGUGAAAAUGACAAACAGUGUAAUGAAAUACGUCACGAUGUAAUCAGUGCCAGCAAAACGUUGCAUGGAUGAGGUAAUGCUGCGGAGGAGAUACUUGGAGUGGUCGGAGACACGAUCUCCGAGUACCAGGAAGAAAUAGCCCGGACAAAGAGAGAGAACCAAUACCUGAAACGACACUUGAUCACACCAGUCCUACCGGCUCCUCAGCCCAUUCUCUCUUGGGUCUCAGAGCAGCAAACUCCCCCUGAGCAACAGCGCUGUGAGCAGGAGUGGAGCCCCAGUCUGGGGCAGAGGGACCCAGAGCCCACACAGAUUAAAGAGGAACAGGGUGAACUCAGGACCCGUCAGGAGGUAGAGCAGAUUCAAGGGCCGGAGGCUGAUACCAAAGAAGACUCCAUAAUCAUUCCUCCCUGUGUGAAAAGUGACUGUGAUCAGGAGCCACCUCACCCCACACAUCUUCCCCAAACUGUGGAGAACAGAGAGAGAGACUCUCUACUGACCAACACAACUGGACAGAUCAAAACAGAACCUGAUGGAGAGGGCUAUGGAGUAUCACUAUCAGAACCAACCAGUGACUCCCCUCAGUCUCAGCCCCUCUCUGCAGUAAAUCCAGCCUGUUCUAGAACACAGAGUGAGAACACUGAAAGUGUACCUGAUGUUCAGAGAGAUCCAGAAAGGAGACCAGAGGAGGACACCCAGACACACUCAUGUACUCAGUGUGGAGCCGUGUUCUGUGAGCUUUCCCAACUGAAGGCACACAUGCUAUCCCAUACAGUACCACACAGUGGUGACACUAGUCACAGGCAAAUCCUCUGCACAGUCUGUUGGAAGUCAUUCACCUCUACCAGUUACCUCAAGGUCCACAUGUGUUCUCACAAUAAGGAGAAGCCCUUCCACUGUGGUGUGUGUGGCAAGAGUUUCAGCUACUCAGGGAGGUUCAGGGAGCACCAACGCAUUCACACGGGAGAGAGACCAUACCGCUGCCACGUGUGUGCUAAACGCUUCAACCGGUCUGCCCAUCUGAAGACCCACCUGAGGGUCCACACAGGGGAGAAACCCUACUCCUGUCCUGUCUGUGGGAAAGGAUUCAGUCAGUCCAGCCAUAUCAAGGGACACCUCAGAACUCACACCCGAGGGAGGUAGAAGAAAGAUGCCUUUUUUUAUUAGGAUCGCCAUUUGCCGACGCCAAUGGCGACAGCUAGUCUUACUGGGGUCCGACACAUCACGAAAAAGACAUUACAGACAAAAGACUUUACACUUAAACAUUAACAUGUAGUAUGUGUGUGUGCACUCAGUUCCACAUACAUGUCAGUACAUACAUGCAACAAGUAGGUCACAUGGGGGAGAGGCGUUGUGCCGUGAGGUGUUGCUUUAUUUAUUUUUUGAAACCAGGUUUGCUGUUCACUUGGCCUAUAUAAGAUGGGAGUUCCAUGCAAUCAUGGCUCUGUAUAAUACUGUAAGUUUCCUUGAAUUUGUUCUGGACCUGGGAACUGUGAAAAUAUGUCUGGUGGGGUAAGUGCUGUGUGUAAGUUGAUUAUGCUUUAUAAAAACGAGAAGCGAUGCAGUCAGUCUUUCCUCAACACUUAGCCAAGAGAGACUAGCAUGCAUAUUAUUGCUUAGGGGAUGACGGUGUCAAAAAGCAGAGCAUCUUUUUAUUACGGAGAGACCUCUCCCCAUCUUUACAACCAUUGAAUCAAAAUGUUUUGACCAUGACAAUUUACAAUAUUAAGAUAACACCAAAUCAUUUAGUCUGCUGAACAGCCAAACCAUUCAUUACCAGAUUCAGCUGAGGUCUAGAACAUACGGAAUGAUUUGUACCAAAUACAAUGCUCUUAGUUUUUGAUAUUUUCAGGACCAGUUUAUUACUGGCCUCCCAUUCUAAAACUGACCAACUCUUUGUUUAGGGUUGCAGUGAUUUCACUAGCUGUGGUUGCUGGCCCGUGUAGGGUUGAAUCAUCAGCAGACAUGGACACAGGCUUUGUUUAUUGACAGUGGCAGGUCAGCUUUCCAUCUAAGUUGUCAAUGCCAGGAGGUUUGUCAUUAUUGAUAACAAUUGUUCUGCCUCUUCCACACUAAUUUUACAAAAUUCAAACUUACAAUGCUUUUCUGUCAUUCUUUUCUUUCAACUGUUCGUGGUUGGCAUUUACUGCCUAGGUUUGCCCACUUUGCCAAUGUAGUAAUUAUUAAAAUAAUUGGCAACAUUAAAUGGUUUUGUGUUGAAUAAGCCAUCUGAUUUUAUGGAAGAUGGAGUUGAAUGUCUUCCUGCCCAUAAUUUAAUUUAAAGUACUCAAGUUAUUUUCCAUCAUUGACCUUGUUUUCAUAAGUUUCUUUUAAGUUUAGUCACAUAAUUUCUCAAAUCUCAAUAAGAGAUGUGCAGCCAGACUUAUUAACCACUCCUUUUGCCCCAUCUCUUUCAACCAUCGUUCUUCAAUUCCUCAUUAAAUCCUUAACAGUUCUAUCAGUCUGUUUCUUAACAGGUGCAUGUUUAUCAAUAAUUGGAAGAAGCAAUGUCAUAAAUUCAUCAAGUGCAGCAUCUGGAUGCUUCUUAUUAAUCACAUCAGACCAAAUAUGUUUUACUUCUACAUAAGUCACAGCUAAAUAUUUUGUAUGAUCUCUUAUACACUAUUUUAGGAACAGCUUUUGGAAUCUUGUCUUUCCUGGAUAUAGCCACUAUAUUGAGAUCACUGCAUUCAAUGGGUACGGAUACAGUUUUAGAACAAAGUUCUACAGUAUUAGUAAAAAAUGUGAUAACUACAUGUGGAUUAUAUAAACUCAUCAAAAAAAAGAAACAUCCUCUCACCGUCAACUGUUUAUUUUCAGCAAACUUAACGUGUAAAUAUUUGUAUGAACAUAACAAGAUUCAACAACUGAGACAGGAACUGAACGAGUUCUACCGACAUGUGACUAACAGAAAUGUAAUAAUGUGUCCCUGAACAAAGGGGGGGGGGGG
Molecule: non-coding RNA, 3273 nt
Organism: Salmo salar (Atlantic salmon)
Lineage: Eukaryota; Metazoa; Chordata; Actinopteri; Salmoniformes; Salmonidae
Source: RefSeq, a predicted model, not a curated record